UACGUAGGGUCCGAGCGUUGUCCGGAAUUAUUGGGCGUAAAGGGCUCGUAGGCGGUUUGUCACGUCGGAAGUGAAAUCUUACAGCUUAACUGUGAACUUGCUCUCGAUACGGGCAGACUUGAGGCAUUCAGGGGAGAACGGAAUUCCUGGUGUAGCGGUGAAAUGCGCAGAUAUCAGGAGGAACACCGGUGGCGAAGGCGGUUCUCUGGGAAUGUACUGACGCUGAGGAGCGAAAGUGUGGGGAGCGAACAGG
RNAcentral lists this ribosomal RNA (253 nucleotides) under uncultured bacterium. RNAcentral's name for it is "partial 16S ribosomal RNA". It matches the Rfam family "Bacterial small subunit ribosomal RNA", at positions 524 to 776 of the family's 1533-position model. The record is from RNAcentral.